AACUAACUGUGGAUGCACAUUUCCUUUUACAGUGUUUUCCUUAACAGUGUUCAGGGAAUUCCUGUGGCAUCUACAUGCUGAUGUAUGCUCUCAGCACAUGUACAUGAUGCCCACUUACAUUCACAGAGGAGGAGGUGCCAGUGAUUCGCCAGUGGUGGUGCAUUCAAUUGAUGGAGAGCUUUGCCUUGAAGGGUAAUACAGACUUUACAGAUAAAAUUUCAGUAACUCGGCUGAUACUAUAGAAAGGUGUUAUACAAUAGAGUGUAUAUACAUUUACAUAUUUUACAAAG
This is a long non-coding RNA of Carassius auratus (goldfish), 290 nucleotides long. RefSeq lists it as uncharacterized. The record is from RefSeq and is a predicted model, not a curated record. The transcript has 3 exons. NCBI's taxonomy places the organism in Eukaryota, Metazoa, Chordata, Actinopteri, Cypriniformes, Cyprinidae.